Molecule: ribosomal RNA, 800 nt
Filed under: uncultured cyanobacterium
Lineage: Bacteria; Bacillati; Cyanobacteriota
Description: bacterial SSU rRNA
Rfam family: Bacterial small subunit ribosomal RNA
Source: RNAcentral
GGAUGAACGCUGGCGGUAUGCUUUACACAUGCAAGUCGUACGGGAGUUAUUCGUAACUCAAGUGGCGGACGGGUGAGGAACACGUAAGAAUUUGCCUUUAGGAGGGGGAUAACAACUGGAAACGGUUGCUAAUACCCCAUAUGCUUUCGAGUGAAAUGGUUUUUUCCGCCUAGAGAGAAGCUUGCGGCUGAUUAGCUUGUUGGUAAGGUAAUGGCUUACCAAGGCGACGAUCAGUAUCUGGUUUGAGAGGACGAUCAGACACACUGGAACUGAGACACGGUCCAGACUCCUACGGGAGGCAGCAGUGGGGAAUUUUCCGCAAUGGGCGAAAGCCUGACGGAGCAAUACCGCGUGAGGGAUGACGGCCUAUGGGUUGUAAACCUCUUUUUUCAGGGAGGAAGAAAUGACGUGUACCUGAAGAAUAAGCAUCGGCUAACUCCGUGCCAGCAGCCGCGGUAAGACGGAGGAUGCAAGUGUUAUCCGGAAUCACUGGGCGUAAAGCGUCUGUAGGUGGUCUAAUAAGUCAAUUGUUAAAUCUUGAGGCUCAACCUCAAACUCGCAGUCGAAACUAUUAGACUAGAGUAUAGUAGGGGUAAAGGGAAUUUCCAGUGGAGCGGUGAAAUGCGUAGAGAUUGGAAAGAACACCGAUGGCGAAGGCACUUUACUGGGCUAUUACUAACACUCAGGGACGAAAGCUAGGGCAGCAAAUGGGAUUAGAUACCCCAGUAGUCCUAGCUGUAAACAAUGGAUACUAGAUGUUGGACAGAUCGACCUGUGCAGUAUCAAAGCUAACGCGUUAA